CAGUAGCCACGGUAAUACGUAGGGGGCAAGCGUUAUCCGGAAUAACUGGGCGUAAAGGGUGCGCAGGUGGUUUAACAAGUUAGUGGUGAAAGGCAUAGGCUCAACCAAUGUAAGCCAUUAAAACUGUUUAACUUGAGUGCAGGAGAGGAAAGUGGAAUUCCUAGUGUAGCGGUGAAAUGCGUAGAUAUUAGGAGGAAUACCAGUGGCGAAGGCGACUUUCUGGACUGCAACUGACACUGAGGCACGAAAGCGUGGGGAGCAAACAGGAUUAGAUACCCGCGUAGUCCCUGUCUCUUAUCAC
RNAcentral lists this ribosomal RNA (301 nucleotides) under uncultured bacterium. Its description in RNAcentral is "partial 16S ribosomal RNA". It matches the Rfam family "Bacterial small subunit ribosomal RNA", at positions 509 to 810 of the family's 1533-position model. The record is from RNAcentral.